This 439-nucleotide ribosomal RNA is filed under the name uncultured bacterium. Its description in RNAcentral is "bacterial SSU rRNA". It matches the Rfam family "Bacterial small subunit ribosomal RNA", at positions 958 to 1400 of the family's 1533-position model. The record is from RNAcentral.
AACGCGAAGAACCUUACCCAGGCUUGACAUGCAGAGGAAGACGGCAGAGAUGACGUUGCCCUUAGGGGCCUCUGCACAGGUGCUGCAUGGCUGUCGUCAGCUCGUGCCGUGAGGUGUUGGGUUAAGUCCCGCAACGAGCGCAACCCUUAUCAUUAGUUGCCAACACGAGAGGUGGGAACUCUAAUGAGACUGCCUGGGUUAACCAGGAGGAAGGUGAGGAUGACGUCAAGUCCGCAUGGCCCUUAUGUCUGGGGCUACACACGCGCUACAAUGGUCGGUACAGAAGGCAGCGAAACCGCGAGGUGAAGCAAAUCCCGAAAGCCGAUCUCAGUUCAGAUUGUAGUCUGCAACUCGACUACAUGAAGAUGGAAUUGCUAGUAAUGGCGUGUCAGCAACAACGCCGUGAAUACGUUCCCGGGCCUUGUACACACCGUGUCGA